GCUCGUAGUUGGAUUUCGGGAUGGGCCAGUCGGUCUGCCGCAAGGUAUGUUACUGGCUGGUCUGUCCUUCUUCGCAAAGACUGCGUGUGCUCUUAAUUGAGUGUGCGUAGGAUUUGCGACGUUUACUUUGAAAAAAUUAGAGUGUUCAAAGCAGGCUGUCCGCUUGAAUACAUGAGCAUGGAAUAAUGGAAUAGGACUUUGGUUCUAUUUUGUUGGUUUCUGGAACCGAAGUAAUGAUUAAGAGGGACAGUUGGGGGCAUUCGUAUUUCGUUGUCAGAGGUGAAAUUCUUGGAUUUACGAAAGACGAACAACUGCGAAAGCAUUUGCCAAGAAUGUUUUCAUUAAUCAAGAACGAAAGUUAGAGGCUCGAAGACGAUCAGAUACCGUCCUAGUUCUAACCAUAAACGAUGCCGACUAGGGAUCAGCGGGCGUUAUUUUAUGACCCCGUUGGCACCUUAUGGGAAACCAAAGUUUUUGGGUUCCGGGGGAAGUAUGGUUGCAAAGCUGAAACUUAAAGGAAUUGACGGAAGGGCACCACCAGGAGUGGAGCCUGCG
Molecule: ribosomal RNA, 555 nt
Filed under: Chrysaora hysoscella
Lineage: Eukaryota; Metazoa; Cnidaria; Scyphozoa; Semaeostomeae; Pelagiidae
Description: SSU rRNA
Rfam family: Eukaryotic small subunit ribosomal RNA
Source: RNAcentral